Molecule: microRNA precursor, 89 nt
Filed under: Lepisosteus oculatus (spotted gar)
Lineage: Eukaryota; Metazoa; Chordata; Actinopteri; Semionotiformes; Lepisosteidae
Description: Danio rerio miR-218b stem-loop (ENSLOCG00000020576.1)
Source: RNAcentral
UUGCCCAGGACUCCAUUGUGCUUGAUCUAACCAUGUGAAUCUGCUGCUGCCCAUGGUGGAGCCAAGCACCCUGGAGAGCUGUGAGCAAU